CCCCUUUUAAAAGCACUCAGUGGGCCUUUUGCUAAUGACCCAUCGAGCUGUCCAGAAGGAGCAGAGCCAAAAACACCACUUUUGGGUGAAGUGGCAGCUUGUUGUGUUGUUUUGCUUCAAUCGGUGGAACAAGA
Molecule: small nucleolar RNA, 134 nt
Organism: Oryctolagus cuniculus (rabbit)
Lineage: Eukaryota; Metazoa; Chordata; Mammalia; Lagomorpha; Leporidae
Source: Ensembl